GACGAACGCUGGCGGCGUGCUUAACACAUGCAAGUCGAGCGGUAAGGCCCUUUCGGGGGUACACGAGCGGCGAACGGGUGAGUAACACGUGGGUGACCUGCCCUCAGCUCUGGGAUAAGCCUGGGAAACCGGGUCUAAUACUGGAUAUGACUCCAUGACGCAUGUUGUGGGGUGGAAAGCCUUGUGCGGCUGAGGAUGGGCCCGCGGCCUAUCAGCUUGUUGGUGGGGUGANGGCCUACCAAGGCGACGACGGGUAGCCGGCCUGAGAGGGCGACCGGCCACACUGGGACUGAGACACGGCCCAGACUCCUACGGGAGGCAGCAGUGGGGAAUCUUGCGCAAUGGGCGAAAGCCUGACGCAGCGACGCCGCGUGAGGGAUGACGGCCUCGGUUGUAACGUACUUCUA
This 407-nucleotide ribosomal RNA is filed under the name uncultured bacterium. Its description in RNAcentral is "bacterial SSU rRNA". It matches the Rfam family "Bacterial small subunit ribosomal RNA", at positions 28 to 435 of the family's 1533-position model. The record is from RNAcentral.